CGCAGGUUCCCAUCAGGAUUCGAACCUCCACCCUGCCGAUGGAAGCAAGACAAUAUUGAUUGAUCCACCAGUUGAGCUGUGCUCCGAGGGGCGCACGUGAGCUAUUUAUUAACUUUUCAAGAAGUUGUCAACCGCAUCAUUUCAUCCAACAUGAUCUAGGAAUGGUGGAACAAUCCAAAACGUGAAUCACUUGCAUCCAUGCUUAAAUUUUUCUCUCCAUUGGCAAGAUAUGAACUCACCAUAGAACAAUAUGAAUAAGCAAGGGGUUUUACAAUUCUUAAAAUUACUAGGUGUACAAUAGAACUACAUAAUUAGACAUCGAAAAGUAAUGAACAUUCUAUUAUUGAUAUAAACUUGUGGAACAAUACUUUUUAUUACACUUAUUUAUCCGAAUAAUGCGCAUACAGAAAAAAAGGUCUUAACUUCUCAGCAGUCAGAAGACGCAUCUUGCCAACUGAGUUCAUGGCACCUUGGGAUGCUUUUAUUGAGUUGAUUUAACAACUUCAAUUCUUGCCAAUGUCAAGAAAACCAUCAACUCACAAAAGGGUAUCAAAGUACCAAAUUGUGUAUUGCAGUUUCUACAGAUAUCAGCAUAAAUUUGAUUAAGAGAUGCACGUUAAUGAUAAUCUUUCAAUCUAACCUUGGAUAUCAUGAUUCAUGAAGUUAUAGUGGUGUUAAUGAAAUUAGAUUAUCGCAUACCGUAUAUGUAGUUUAAAAAAUCGAUUUUAAGCAUACCGUAUAUGCAAUAUGCCGUAUAU
RNAcentral lists this long non-coding RNA (758 nucleotides) under Olea europaea subsp. europaea. The record is from RNAcentral. Lineage: Eukaryota; Viridiplantae; Streptophyta; Magnoliopsida; Lamiales; Oleaceae.